This 392-nucleotide long non-coding RNA is filed under the name Triticum aestivum (bread wheat). Its description in RNAcentral is "long non-coding RNA (TAES_LNC005483)". The record is from RNAcentral. Lineage: Eukaryota; Viridiplantae; Streptophyta; Magnoliopsida; Poales; Poaceae.
GGAGAGGGAGACUAAGGAGAGGACGGCUAGGCUUUUGGAAUAGGAGAGGAACCGGAACGACUUAGCUAACCGAGCCAUAUACGAGCUCUUCGCGGUAAGUUUCUUCUGCAUAUUAGCUAAAUCAUGCACGCAAUGUUCCUUUCAUUAGUAACUAAUAUGACUGACUCGUCAAAACCAAAUGUGCAGUCCAUGUGCGAGAAGAACGGUCAGACCCCUCCGCCGAUGCCAGUCAUUGCUCCGGCGGACACGGUGAGUUUCAUUUGAAUGGACAUUACUUAUUAUUCUUCACAUUUGUGUUGCAUCAUGCUAACGAGACAUUGCAAAUGAUCUUUAAUUUGGUGCAGCAUAACUCCUGACAAGCAUCGACAUCUGCCAUUGGCGCGAGCAAGAAC